This is a long non-coding RNA of Mytilus californianus (California mussel), 597 nucleotides long. RefSeq lists it as uncharacterized. The transcript is spliced from 3 exons. Lineage: Eukaryota; Metazoa; Mollusca; Bivalvia; Mytilida; Mytilidae. The record is from RefSeq and is a predicted model, not a curated record.
GCUAGAGAGAGGACCAACUUGUUAAUUACCCAAUUCAAAAAAGAUAAUAGGGAAAACUUGAAAAAAUCAGGUAUAAAUGAGGAAUAUAGCGAAAGAGAAAGUUUACUGGAGGAGGUGAUAGGUUUGAUGGAGGAAGAAGAGAGGAAAAAGGAUGCAGAUAAAGAAAAAACAGCUUCCCUAGAAAAGGCUUCCCUUGACAUUAGAAAAAGGGCAUAAGAAACCCUGACACCCACAAAAGAUUGUGAUGCAGAAGAAGCUAUUAGACCAAAGAAAUCAAAAUCAUCCAACAACAUUCUUUCUUAUCUGCAAGAAAAGAAGGAAGUAGAGAUGGAAAUAAGGAAAGAGGAGAUGGAAAUGAAGAAACAACAACUACAGUUUGAGAGGGAGAAAUUUGAGUUGGAGAAAAACGAGAGGAGACAGAGAAUGGAUAUUGAAAGACAGGAAAAGAUGAUGAUUUUUGAAAUGUUUAGAAUGCUCGCAGACAAGAACUGAAUUAGCUGAUAUUUUUGUGAAUAGGAAAAAUAAUUUUUUCUGAUAUUAUACAAAAUAUUGAUUACUCUAAAUUUGCUGUAAUUUUUCAUCAUCAUUGUGUCAUAU